Arvicola amphibius (Eurasian water vole) is the source of this 105-nucleotide small nuclear RNA. The record is from RefSeq and is a predicted model, not a curated record. Lineage: Eukaryota; Metazoa; Chordata; Mammalia; Rodentia; Cricetidae.
GUGUGCUCGCUUCACACAUAUACUAAAAUUGGCAUGAUGCAGAGAAGAUUAGCAUGGCGCCUACGCAAGGAUGACAUGCCAAUUCGUGAAGCGUCUCAUGUCUGU